Molecule: long non-coding RNA, 499 nt
Filed under: Amborella trichopoda
Lineage: Eukaryota; Viridiplantae; Streptophyta; Magnoliopsida; Amborellales; Amborellaceae
Description: long non-coding RNA (ATRI_LNC001234)
Source: RNAcentral
UAACUAAAUCUCUGAUUGCUUACUUGGUAAAAGUUUCGAACAUGCCCAACUCUAUUCAUAAUACUUGGAAAAAAUGGAACCUUCCAAAACAAUCUAAAUCCACGAAUCAAUCCAUGGCACCAACUUUGACAGCUAUAUGAAAUGCACACCACAUGGUGGAUGAUAUGGAAAGAAAGGCCUUUUUGAUGUUUUAAAGCAGCAAGAUUCAUUCAUUCUUCCCCUCCAGUUGUUAUUUGGCCUACUCUCCCGGAGAUGCACUUUUGUCAUUUCUCGAUGACCCACGACUAAGCGAGACUACAUCCAUAUCUCGCAGCAAGAUUUUGAUGCAUAGAAUGCUCUAUAUUCAAGGCUUCUAGUAAGGGACAAAGCUAACUUUUGUCGCUAUGUCGCUUUUAUGUGUCACUCAUUUCCUCAUCUCCCUUUAUAUCAAAGGCAGGUUUUCUAGCCUCGAUGCCCAGUUCAGGCUUGUUUCUUUAGAGUGAAAUAUAAAGAAGGCACG